ACGUAGGGUGCGAGCGUUAAUCGGAAUUACUGGGCGUAAAGCGUGCGCAGGCGGUUCGGUAAGACAGGUGUGAAAUCCCCGGGCUCAACCCGGGAACUGCAUUUGUGACUGCAGGGCUGGAGUACGGCAGAGGGGGGUGGAAUUCCGCGUGUAGCAGUGAAAUGCGUAGAGAUGUGGAGGAACACCGAUGGCGAAGGCAGCCUCCUGGGAUGAUACUGACGCUCAUGCACGAAAGCGUGGGGAGCAAACAG
RNAcentral lists this ribosomal RNA (251 nucleotides) under uncultured prokaryote. RNAcentral's name for it is "partial 16S ribosomal RNA". It matches the Rfam family "Bacterial small subunit ribosomal RNA", at positions 525 to 775 of the family's 1533-position model. The record is from RNAcentral.